This 492-nucleotide ribosomal RNA is filed under the name uncultured bacterium. RNAcentral describes it as "partial 16S ribosomal RNA". It matches the Rfam family "Bacterial small subunit ribosomal RNA", at positions 29 to 507 of the family's 1533-position model. The record is from RNAcentral.
AGUGAACGCUGGCGGUAGGCCUAACACAUGCAAGUCGAACGGCAGCACAGUAAGAGCUUGCUCUUACGGGUGGCGAGUGGCGGACGGGUGAGGAAUACAUCGGAAUCUACUUUUUCGUGGGGGAUAACGUAGGGAAACUUACGCUAAUACCGCAUACGACCUACGGGUGAAAGCAGGGGAUCUUCGGACCUUGCGCGAUUGAAUGAGCCGAUGUCGGAUUAGCUAGUUGGCGGGGUAAAGGCCCACCAAGGCGACGAUCCGUAGCUGGUCUGAGAGGAUGAUCAGCCACACUGGAAAUGAGACACGGUCCAGACUCCUACGGGAGGUAGCAGUGGGGAAUAUUGGACAAUGGGCGCAAGCCUGAUCCAGCCAUACCGCGUGGGUGAAGAAGGCCUUCGGGUUGUAAAGCCCUUUUGUUGGGAAAGAAAAGCAGCAGGUUAAUACCCCGCUGUUCUGACGGUACCCAAAGAAUAAGCACCGGCUAACUUCGUG